RNAcentral lists this ribosomal RNA (119 nucleotides) under Pteropus alecto (black flying fox). Lineage: Eukaryota; Metazoa; Chordata; Mammalia; Chiroptera; Pteropodidae. The record is from RNAcentral.
GUCUACAGCCAUGCCACCCUGAACAAGCCCUAUCCCGUCUGAUCUCGGAAGCUAAGCAGUGGCGGGCCUGGUUAGUACUUGGAUGGGAAACCACUUAGGAAGACCAGGUGCUGUAGGCA